UAACCUGGUUGAUCCUGCCAGUGGCCACCGCUAUUGGACUUCGCUUAAACCAUGCGAGUCGAGAGGGUUCGGCCCUCGGCAGACCGCUCAGUAACACGCGGAUAACCUGCCCUUGGGUGGAGGAUAAGCUCGGGAAACUGAGUAUAAUACUCCAUAGGUCAUCUAUGCUGGAAUGCUUGAUGGCCGAAAGCUCCGGCGCCCAAGGAUGGGUCUGCGGCCUAUCAGGUCGUAGUUGGUGUAACGGACCAACUAGCCUUCGACGGGUACGGGCCUUGAGAGAGGUAGCCCGGAGAUGGACUCUGAGACAUGAGUCCAGGCCCUACGGGGCGCAGCAGGUGCGAAAACUUCGCAAUGUGGGAAACCACAACGAGGGGAGUCCAAGUGCUUGCACAAUGUGUAGGCUGUUUCCGUGCCUAAAAAGCACGGAGAGUAAGGGCUGGAUAAGACGGGUGCCAGCCGCCGCGGUAAUACCCGCAGCCCGAGUGGUGGUCGCUAUUAUUGGGCCUAAAACGUCCGUAGCCGGCCCGGUAAAUUCUUGGGGAAAUCGGCCAGCUCAACUGGCCGAAGUCCGAGGAGACUGCCGGGCUUGGGACUGGGUGAGGUCAGAGGUACUUCAGGGGUAGGGGUAAAAUCCUGUAAUCCUUGAAGGACCACCAGUGGCGAAGGCGUCUGACUAGAACGGAUCCGACGGUAAGGGACGAAGCCCUGGGGCACAAACGGGAUUAGAUACCCCGGUAGUCCAGGGUGUAAACGCUGUGGGCUUGGUGUUGGGAGUCCCACGAGGGCGCCCAGUGCCGGAGAGAAGUUGUUAAGCCUACUGCCUGGGGAGUACGCUCGCAAGAGUGAAACUUAAAGGAAUUGGCGGGGGGAGCACCGCAACGGGUGGAGCGUGCGGUUUAAUUGGAUUCAACGCCGGAAAACUCACCGGGAGCGACGGUUACA
Molecule: ribosomal RNA, 942 nt
Filed under: uncultured eukaryote
Lineage: Eukaryota
Description: bacterial SSU rRNA
Rfam family: Archaeal small subunit ribosomal RNA
Source: RNAcentral